AAGUUAAUGACAUUUGGCGCAUGUUUGAAGAGUAUUUUUUAGAUGAUUCAUUUGUUGACUACAAUAAAAUUGAUUUUAGAAUUAUCCAUUUUGCCGAGAAGUUAAUGUCGUACCACCAUUACACUUAGUUGUGCUUUGUACAAGCCUUAAUCACGGAUUCAUGUUAUUUUACAUGGCUCAAUGGAGCCUGAAGUCAGUGCAGUCCUUCAUGGACUGCGGCAGAUAUGGGUAAUUGCAUGGGCAGUUGCUUACCAACAUCUCGCAGAUUAUUUUCUAGUGAUGAUAAAACAGACUUUGCUGACCUUAUAAAUAAUCCUAAUGAAGAUACUACUAACAAAAGUGAAACUUGUUUUUCAUGCUUGCAUGAAGAUGUUUUUUAAUUCGGCAUUUCCUCAAGACUAAAAAGAAACACAGACCAAAGGUAUAAUUUUAAUUUGUUUUAAAUAACCCCUUUAGUUUUCUUGUUUCUUAGGAAGCAGUUUUAAAUUUGGUUGAAGACAUUUUCCCCUCUUCUAAAAGUACUAAUUAUUCCAAGCUCAACAAGAUACCACACUCAUCAGAUAGACAGAACAUACCUUUACAAUGUUUAGAUGCCCGUGCUCUUUUAACAAAUACUGCAAACUCUACACCUGCUAGUUCUCUAGAUCUAGAAUGGGAGCAUGAAGCCUUGCCCUUAGAAGUUGUACAAGAGCCCUGUAACAGUUCAUGGUAUAAAUAUUUUUUCUUUAUAUAAAUAAAACAGCUUUUGGUAAUUUUUUACAUUAGUUGACAUUGGAA
RNA transcript from Agrilus planipennis (emerald ash borer), 777 nucleotides. RefSeq lists it as uncharacterized. Lineage: Eukaryota; Metazoa; Arthropoda; Insecta; Coleoptera; Buprestidae. The record is from RefSeq and is a predicted model, not a curated record. The transcript is spliced from 5 exons.